GAUGGGAUUUACAUCUGAAAAACCAAGUGAGAAACUGAAGACCAGAGAGGGUGAGUGGUUUACUCAGUUUGGCACAACUGACCCCAACCUAGCCCUCCAUGAGGACUGAGCGCAUGAGAGAUCCUGAGCCACAGCCGCCCAGCCCUGCUCCUCUCGAAUUUCUGACCUACAGGAACUGCAAGAAGUAAUGAAAGACUGCUGUUUAAAGCCACUGCAUUUUGGCAUGAUUUGUUAUGCAGUCGUAGAUAACCAGAAAACAUCGGAUUUACAUUUUAAGGUAAACUUUUUAUUGAAACAUCACAUACACACAGAGACGUCCACCAAUUGGCUCGAUGAGCUUUCUCAAAGGAAACACAUUCUCUGAGCAGUGUGCACAUCCAGACACAUCAUCUCCAUCCUCCAGAAGCCCCCUCCUGUUAUCGCCACUCACAGGUCACCCGUCUCCUGACUUGCAGCCACAGAGAUAGUCCUGCCUAAUUCUGAACGUGGUACAAACGGAAUCAUACAGAAUGGGCUUGGCUUCUUUCACUCUGGGCUGUGUUUAUGAGCAUCACCCAGAUUGCUGCAUGGAAGCCAUCGUUUGUUCAUUUUCACCACCAUAGAGUAUUCUACUGUUGAUGGGACAUAGGCUAUUUAUUCCUUCUACUGUUGAGGGACGCAUAGUUAUUUCCAGCUGGAGACUGGUAUAUGUCUCUUGGCUACCUUCUGCAUGCAUUUCUGUUGGAGGUUGUUUCAGGUAUCUCUUAACGUAUAACAGACCACCCUCAAAUUGAGUCCUUGAAACAAUUACCAUUUUCUUCUUUCUCAGGAUUUGGUGCAUGGGAUGGGCUCAGUUGGGCAGUUCUUCUGUUCCAUGUGAUGGUACUGGGGCUGCAGUCAUUCAGAGGCUCAACUGGGCUGAACGUGCAAGGUUUCUUGCUCACGUGGCCAUCAGUGGUGCUGGCUGCUGUUGGGAGCUCCACUGGACUUCUGUCCAGAGCUCCUCAGCUCACCUCUCUGUAUCCUUGCCCUGUGGCUCAGGCUUCUAACAAUACAGAGGCUGGAUUCCAAGAGGAGGGAAUUAGAAGCGUUCAGCCUUCUUAAGACCAGGAUUCAGAUGUCCCAGACUGUCACUGUAUUGACCGGAGCAUUUACAGGCCAGCCUAGUAAUUUUUCCAUCUUGGGCAGGAAUGGGUGGCAUAUGCUGGGGGUAGGGGUAGCAUUGUUGGGGAUCAUCUUUGGAGCUGUGUGCCAAGGAGUAAAUUGCUGGGCUGCUUUCUACCUGAGGAAGUCCACUAUGCUUGCUUGUGGAGAGUGGAUUGUGUGCUCAGAGUCCACAAGGAUUUAAGAAUCCGAGCCCUGCUGCCCUUGCCUCAGCCUGUGCAUUAGGGCCCGGUGGUGAGAGCACUGAGCCAUUGUGAAUCAAGGCCCCUCCCUCGACCUGCAUACUAACAGGCCAGAAGAGCUUGCUUGAUUUUGGUCCUAGGCUCCUGCCUGUGGGUUGGAUUCCAGGGGCACUCUCUCCUCCACAAACCAGACGGUGGCAGGUACAUCCCCUCAAUGGAAAUUGCCCACACUUCACCCUAAAGACAGAUCCUGCUGUUCAGCAACAAUGUGAGUGGCCCACACAUUUGUCCAGCAUGAAACCGUUUGCAGAUUCCUUUCCAGUACACAGUCCCGUCAGCCGGUCACUUCACGAUGACAGCUCCUCGAAGCACCUUUUGGUUUGCAGUUGUGUAGCUUAGAAGUAGGAGCCUGCACGGCUUCAGGAAUUCACAGAAGGAGCACACUUUGUGCUUGGAGAAGUUAAUUAUAGGAAUAUCCUGCAACCUGCUGCUCUGAGCCUGUGCACCUGGGGUGUUUCCCUGGAGGUCCUGUGUAUGAGGAUACUCAUCAGCAUGGGGUUUGGGAAGCCUAGCAGUGGAGACAACCUAGGUGGUCCUCUCCAGGGGAGUAGGUAAGAGCCCUACAGCAGUGAAAAGCAUUGAAGGAAAAGUGUGUUCAGCAGUGCUCUUAAUCUGAUCAGAGCAGCCUGAACACAUUCUAAACACAGGGCAUUUAGAACUAGGGUAGAGGCACUAGAGCACCAUAGAUACAAACUCAGAUUCUGAAGGUAAAUGCCCAGGUUCAAAUCCAAGCCCCCUCGCCAAGUGACCAUGACUCCCCCGAGUCACCUGACCUCUGUGUUUACAUCCUCAAAGUUAAGUAGUCAGGAAAGGGGGCUUGGGGCUUGCCACAUGGAUGGUUGCCACUCUCCUUUGCAAAGUGUAGUCCCCAAAAACAGGUGGAAGAGGGAAGGGUCCAAUUAGAAGGCCGAGUACCAGCUGCCAUGAAUAUGCCAGAGCUGCUGGCUAGUGAUAAAUAACUGAAACCCAGGGGGACAGCAGAGCUUGGGUGACCAUACAUUCUAGGAAAGAAAACAUGCCUGUUGUCCUGGCUUUUUAUCCAGCUUAGACAAAGAUGGGCAAAGAAAAUAAUUUAGAAAAUGGUAGAGAUGGGCACAGAGAAAGGGCACGGAGGGAGGCACAAACAGAAGGCCAAGUGAUGGUGGAGGCAGACAUUGGAGAAAUGCCUUUACAAGCCGGGGAAUGCCAAGGAUGCUGGCAACCCUGGGAGUGGGAAGAACCUGGAACACACCCUCCGUCAGAGUCUCCAGAAGGAACUGGCCCUUCAUCACCUUUCGGACUUCUGGCCUCCAGAACUGGGCAAGAAAAUGUUUCUGCUGUUGGAGGCCAUCCAGCUGGUGGUCAUUUGUUAUGGUUGCCACAGAAAACGAAUAUAGAUUUAGACAUCUAAUUUGCAUAUAUAGAUAUGCAUGUGUAUUUGUUAAAUAAAAGAUAAAGC
RNAcentral lists this long non-coding RNA (2823 nucleotides) under Homo sapiens (human). RNAcentral describes it as "non-protein coding FENDRR:14". The record is from RNAcentral. Lineage: Eukaryota; Metazoa; Chordata; Mammalia; Primates; Hominidae.